CAGUUAAUAUUUUAAUUAAAAUUUGAAUUUUGGAUAUUCAAGAUAUGUGAGUUUACAUUUUACUGA
Molecule: transfer RNA, 66 nt
Filed under: Sinocentrus brevicornis
Lineage: Eukaryota; Metazoa; Arthropoda; Insecta; Hemiptera; Membracidae
Description: tRNA-Pro
Source: RNAcentral